GAACGCUGGCGGCGUGCCUAAUGCAUGCAAGUCGAGCGACGCAUACCGGAGGGGUAACCCACUGGUAUGACGGAGCGGCGAACGGGUGAGUAACACUUGAGCAACCUGCCCCACAGAUCGGGAUAGCCCAGGGAAACCUGGAUUAAUACCGAAUAUCCUCGGAGGACCGCAUGGUCCGCUGAGGAAAUGCCUUUGUGCUGUGGGAUGGGCUCGAGGCUUAUCAGCUAGUUGGUGGGGUAACGGCCUACCAAGGCAUCGACGAGUAGCUGGUCUGAGAGGACGAUCAGCCACACUGGGACUGAGACACGGCCCAGACUCCUACGGGAGGCAGCAGCAGGGAAUCUUGCGCAAUGGGCGAAAGCCUGACGCAGCAACGCCGCGUGGGGGAUGAAGGCCUUCGGGUUGUAAACCCCUUUCAGGAGGGAAGAAAUUGACGGUACCUCCAAAAGAAGCACCGGCCAACUACGUGCCAGCAGCCGCGGUAAUACGUAGGGUGCGAGCGUUAUCCGGAAUCAUUGGGCGUAAAGAGCUCGUAGGCGGUUCAGCAAGUCGGCUGUGAAAUUCCGAGGCUCAACCUCGGAACUGCAGUCGAUACUGCUGUGACUCGAGUCCGGUAGAGGAGAAUGGAAUUCCCGGUGUAGCGGUGAAAUGCGCAGAUAUCGGGAGGAACACCAGUAGCGAAGGCGGUUCUCUGGGCCGGCACUGACGCUGAGGAGCGAAAGCGUGGGUAGCAAACAGGAUUAGAUACCCUGGUAGUCCACGCC
Molecule: ribosomal RNA, 764 nt
Filed under: uncultured bacterium
Lineage: Bacteria
Description: bacterial SSU rRNA
Rfam family: Bacterial small subunit ribosomal RNA
Source: RNAcentral